GGCAAGUCCCAGAGAGCCCUGGGGACAGCCUGUGCUCCUAGCCCGCCUACCUGCCCACCCCAGGCUACAGCCCGGUGAACGGAACUGUGAUGCAUGAAAUGAGGGGGGAAAGACCGGUGAGGUCAUGCUGGCCUUGUUAACUGUUGGCAAAAAAGCAGGCAACAGAAAGGGGAAUGUCAGAUUGUCCAUGUGAGGAAGCAGUUGAUUUCACCUGUGAAUUAAUUUACUUCGUGCAGUGCUUGGAUUAAGCUGGCAGAACAUGAGAACCACAUCAGCAUGAUCAAAGCUUCAUAAGGAUCUAUUGGCAUUGAAAUAAGGAAGUAUUACACGUAAUCCAGGACAAUUGGCUGGCUUACUUGGGUGUAUCAGACAUUCCCAUAUCCUGUACAAAUAAGGAUUUGUGAGGCUCCAAGAUGGAUUGUGAAGCAGCCAUUAAUGCUUCUACGUGAUUAUGGAACUUGGGGAGCCAGCUUGGCAUCCCACUGGAAGUCAGAUGAUGUUAUGAUUACAAGGAAGUAUUGAUAUACUUCCCUAAUUGUUUCUUAGGACUUUGGAUUCUAUUUGUGAUGUCAUUACAAAGCUAUGCAUUAUCUGCAUAAUCGCCAAGGAAAAGACUCUCUCAUGAAGGGAAAUGCGUCCCACUGAGAUAAUGCCGCAAGCUACUGCUAUACAUCCAACGGCAUAUGUAUGGUGUUGAAAUAAUAAGACAGCAUGGAAUAAUGAUGAAGGCCAUAUUGUGUAUCAGGAGCUUGUAACCAUCUGGCAAUUUGCUGGUAUCCUGUAGGACUACUUACCUUGCAGAAUAAGGUGCUGAUUCACGAGGGUGCAAGCGAUGAGGAGCUCACUGCAAAAAGGAGCCCAGACUGCUUUACACAAGGAGACAGUAUGAGGCCUGGAGUGGUGCGGCUUCUAGCCCUUGUUGCCGUCUGCAUUAAGAACCUUCACUUUCUUCACUAGAUGCAGAAGUGGUGGGAGUCUGCUAUAAGCUUGCCUUUGUUUUUACUUCCUUCUGGGCAUUGCUUACAGGGGUCACAGACAUUCAGAUCAUGGCAGAACUGUCACAGAUGUUACUUUGUGAAAACACAAAGAAUAAUGUGUUUGGAGAGAUCAGUCUUCAAUUAGCUAUAUUUUCUAGGAGCCUACCUUUACUUAGCCUCACAACAUGGGCCUUAGCUUUAGCACUUAAUCUGCACAAAUACCUGGCUUAAGUGUUAUGACUGACUGGCUAUUCAACCAAACCAUACAAAUGACCAAUUCGGUAAGAAAGCAUGAACUUCAGUGUUGAACCAAAUCAACCAACCUCCUCAAUCCAAAUGAACAAUGCUAUUCUAGGAGUCUGUGCUAGAAUAAAAUCCUAAUGCAAAGGCUGUCUUAAAAUGCUGAACCCAGAAGAAUUUGGCAUAAAUAAGACAUGGAGUUAGCUGACAUGAGAUAUUACAUUUAUUCCACUGUUGACGAGGACAAAACUGGGCCGCUAUUGUCACAGGAGAUGCCUGUGAAAGAGGAUGGGCCAGGGUCAGCUUUCACCUUCAUAUCCUCCCAUGCAGAAAACGGAAGCAUGUUUGGGCUGAGAGGACAGGUUGCCAGUUGUCUGAACCAGUCAUUCCAACCAGGCUUCACACUUCUGCAAAGAAGAGAGGGCUAGAAUGCCCAGUAGGAGUGCAGACUGGAGGAUCGGCUGUUUUUUGAACUGGAGACAUCACAGGAAACUGGGGAGGCUCCAAAUUGCUAACCUGAGGCCGGAGCAAAAACUUUUUUUUUGUCGAAGGGACUGCUUUUUUUAUUUCCCCUUCAACGGAUGGCAUCCCAAGUCCUGCUGGAUUGCAUCUGUCUUUGUUCCUGCAGCCAAGCCUUGGUGAGCACACAGAUGCCUAACACCGUCAAAAUGGUACUAGGGAAGCUCAGAAGCAAGAUCAUCAAUAUUAUAUCAAUAUAUACAAGUUCUGAAGAGUCAUGGCAGAAGCAAAAGGAAGCAGCAAUGCUGAGGAAGUCUGUUCUGGAGGCACCAUGACAAAGCACCAGACAGAAAGCAGUCACGUGUGGGGAGAUGAGCAGAGACACCACUUCUCAAGCACCUGAUUAUUCUUUCUCAGUAUUUAGAAGCAAAAAUUAUCCUUAAGAAAAACAACCGCAAACGCAACACAGGCUACACAGAUGAGAAAAUGGGCUCAUGAAACACUGCACUAAACAGUCACAGGACCAAGAUAUAGAUUCCUAUUUCCAUUUUUUUAUACAGGUGAACAUAAAGAUUUUUCAGUCAAUAGCAUACACUGAACAUUGCUUCUAUAUAAAGAGCAGUGUUUCUCAAAGUGUGGUCCUUGGAACAGCAGCAUCAGUAGCAUCGGCUUGCAGAGCUCAAACCAUUACACCAUUCAGAAGCUGGCUUUGGUAUUACUUCAAGUUAUUCAAAACAGUCACCACUUGCUGAGCCUCUGAUGUCUCAUCUGUUGAAUGGGUACAUUUUCUUCCUGAUCCUUCCACCUCUAAACUUGUCUAUUUCCAAGGAUCUAUGGCAUCCAGGCAUAUGGUUCCCCAUCUUCGUUGAAGGCCCCACAUCAUUUGCCAUGAACUUGCAGAAGAUUUCAAGAGAGAAGGCUGAAAAGGAAGGUGACUGGAAUAUUAAGAACUGUGAGAUAUUCUGAGGAAACUCUAAUUUGUAAAUUGGUAGAAAUGCCAGUAAUUUGUUGGGAAUUGAAGACCCUCUGUAUUCAAGAGCGAAGCUUGGCAGCUGUGCACUGUUGUUUUAUAAAUCAAUAUUACAUCU
Molecule: long non-coding RNA, 2764 nt
Filed under: Homo sapiens (human)
Lineage: Eukaryota; Metazoa; Chordata; Mammalia; Primates; Hominidae
Description: long non-coding RNA NONHSAT184679.1
Source: RNAcentral